AUUGAACGCUGGCGGCAGGCCUAACACAUGCAAGUCGAGCGGAUGAAGGGAGCUUGCUCCUGGAUUCAGCGGCGGACGGGUGAGUAAUGCCUAGGAAUCUGCCUGGUAGUGGGGGAUAACGUCCGGAAACGGGCGCUAAUACCGCAUACGUCCUGAGAGAGAAAGUGGGGGAUCUUCGGACCUCACGCUAUCAGAUGAGCCUAGGUCGGAUUAGCUAGUUGGUGGGGUAAAGGCCUACCAAGGCGACGAUCCGUAACUGGUCUGAGAGGAUGAUCAGUCACACUGGAACUGAGACACGGUCCAGACUCCUACGGGAGGCAGCAGUGGGGAAUAUUGGACAAUGGGCGAAAGCCUGAUCCAGCCAUGCCGCGUGUGUGAAGAAGGUCUUCAGAUUGUAAAGCACUUUAAGUUGGGAGGAAGGGCAGUAAGUUAAUACCCUGCUGUUUUGACGUUACCAACAGAAUAAGCACCGGCUAACUUCGUG
RNAcentral lists this ribosomal RNA (484 nucleotides) under uncultured bacterium. RNAcentral describes it as "partial 16S ribosomal RNA". It matches the Rfam family "Bacterial small subunit ribosomal RNA", at positions 30 to 507 of the family's 1533-position model. The record is from RNAcentral.